This 709-nucleotide unclassified non-coding RNA is filed under the name Aetanthus dichotomus. RNAcentral describes it as "sequence contains ITS1, 5.8S rRNA gene, ITS2". The stretch from base 315 to 470 matches the Rfam family "5.8S ribosomal RNA". The record is from RNAcentral. Lineage: Eukaryota; Viridiplantae; Streptophyta; Magnoliopsida; Santalales; Loranthaceae.
UUUCCGUAGGUGAACCUGCGGAAGGAUCAUUGUCGAAACCUGCAUAGCAGAACGACCUGUGGACAUGUUGACUGAUGGGUGUGGGGUUCGGGAGAAUUUAUCCUGAACUCCCCCGAUGUCGGCCCGUGCACGGAUUCUCCACCCCCACUCAAUGCUUAGGCAUGACGGGGAUUGCGGUGAAUUUUUGUACGCGGUUGGCGAUAACCAUAGACCCGGCGCGGACUGCGUCAAGGAAGGUAAAAUACGGAGCGUGCUCCCAGGGUCAUCGUAUCGAUGUUCUCUCGGGAUGCACCUAUGUAAUAACUGAUUAUAACGACUCUCGGCAACGGAUAUCUCGGCUCUCGCAUCGAUGAAGAACGCAGCGAAAUGCGAUACCUGGUGUGAAUUGCAGAAUCCCGUGAAUCAUCGAGUCUUUGAACGCAAGUUGCGCCCGAGACCAUUUGGUCGAGGGCACGCCUGCCUGGGCGUCACGCGUUGCGUCGCCUCUCAACCCCUUACCCACGGUAUCGGGUUAGAUAUCGGGGCGGAUGUUGGCUUCCCGUGCAUCACUUGCUCGGUUGGCUGAAAAAAACAGUCUCCGUGGCACGGUACUUGACGGUUGGUGGAUGACACAAAGUUUUGUCCCAUCGUCUUUCUAGCGCUACGGAUGGUACUGUGAUGACCCUAGAAUGUUGUCCAUCUCGGUGGGCAUCGAUUCCAUAUGCGACCC